AGAGUUUGAUCCUGGCUCAGGACGAACGCUGGCGGCGUGCUUAACACAUGCAAGUCGAACGAAGCUUGAUUACGGAUUCUUCGGAUGAAGUAUGAUAUGACUGAGUGGCGGACGGGUGAGUAACGCGUGAGUAACCUGCCCUUCAGAGGGGGAUAGCGUUUGGAAACGAACGGUAAUACCGCAUAAUGUAUUUUGACCGCAUGAUCGAAAUACCAAAGAUUUAUCGCUGAAGGAUGGACUCGCGUCUGAUUAGGUAGUUGGUGGGGUAACGGCCUACCAAGCCGACGAUCAGUAGCCGGACUGAGAGGUUGAUCGGCCACAUUGGGACUGAGACACGGCCCAGACUCCUACGGGAGGCAGCAGUGGGGAAUAUUGCACAAUGGGCGCAAGCCUGAUGCAGCAACGCCGCGUGAAGGAAGACGGUUUUCGGAUUGUAAACUUCUGUUCUUAGUGAAGAAUAAUGACGGUAGCUAAGGAGCAAGCCACGGCUAACUACGUGCCAGCAGCCGCGGUAAUACGUAGGUGGCAAGCGUUGUCCGGAAUUACUGGGUGUAAAGGGAGCGCAGGCGGGUGAUCAAGUCAGCUGUGAAAACUACGGGCUUAACCCGUAGACUGCAGUUGAAACUGUUCAUCUUGAGUGGAGUAGAGGUUGGCGGAAUUCCGAGUGUAGCGGUGAAAUGCGUAGAUAUUCGGAGGAACACCGGUGGCGAAGGCGGCCAACUGGGCUUUAACUGACGCUGAGGCUCGAAAGUGUGGGGAGCAAACAGGAUUAGAUACCCUGGUAGUCCACACUGUAAACGAUGAUUGCUAGGUGGUGGGGGGUCUGACCCCUUCCGUGCCGGAGCUAACGCAAUAAGCAAUCCACCUGGGGGAGUACGACCGCAAGGUUGAAACUCAAAGGAAUUGACGGGGACCCGCACAAGCAGUGGAAUUAUGUUGGUUUAAUUCGAAGCAACGCGAAGAACCUUACCAGCACUUGGCAUCCCACUUAACGAAUUAAGAGAAUAAUUUAGUGGCCCUUCCGGGGAAAAUUUAAACAAGGGGGGGGAUUGGUUGUCGCCACACCCUGGCCCCGAGAAAGUUGGGGUUAAAUCCCCCCAACAAAGCGAACCCUCCGCCUUUAUUGGUUACCCAAGAACACUCUAUUGGGACCGCCUCCCCCAAGGGGGGGGGAAAGUUGGGGAACAACCCAAAUACUAAUAGCCCCCUAUUUGUCUGGGGGUCACCCCGUUAAUCAAUUGGCCGCCCCACAAAGAGGAGAAAUACCCCCAGGUGGGGGCAAAAUUCAAAAAAUGGUCUCAGUUCGGACUGCAGGCUGCAACCCGCCUGCACGAAGUUGGAAUUGCUAGUAAUCGUGGAUCAGCAUGCCACGGUGAAUACGUUCCCGGGUCUUGCACACACCGCCCGUC
RNAcentral lists this ribosomal RNA (1409 nucleotides) under uncultured bacterium. RNAcentral describes it as "bacterial SSU rRNA". It matches the Rfam family "Bacterial small subunit ribosomal RNA". The record is from RNAcentral.